This 891-nucleotide ribosomal RNA is filed under the name uncultured marine bacterium. RNAcentral's name for it is "bacterial SSU rRNA". It matches the Rfam family "Bacterial small subunit ribosomal RNA", at positions 28 to 896 of the family's 1533-position model. The record is from RNAcentral.
AUUGAACGCUGGCGGUAGGCUUAACACAUGCAAGUCGAGCGGUAACAGACAUUUUGAUUUUGCUUGCAAAAUCUCGUGCUGACGAGCGGCGAACGGGUGAGUAACGCGUAGGAAUCUACCUAGUAGAAGGGGAUAGCCCGAGGAAACUCGGAUUAAUACCGUAUACGUCCUUAGGGAGAAAGAGGGCUUAGCUUUGAUGCUCUCGCUAUUAGAUGAGCCUGCGUAAGAUUAGCUUGUUGGUGAGGUAAAGGCUCACCAAGGCGACGAUCUUUAGCUGGUCUGAGAGGACGAUCAGCCACAUUGGGACUGAGACACGGCCCAGACUCCUACGGGAGGCAGCAGUGGGGAAUAUUGGACAAUGGGCGCAAGCCUGAUCCAGCCAUACCGCGUGUGUGAAGAAGGCCUUCGGGUUGUAAAGCACUUUAAGUAAGGAAGAAAAGAGUAUUGUUAAUACCAAUACUCCGUGACAUUACUUACAGAAUAAGGACCGGCUAAUUCCGUGCCAGCAGCCGCGGUAAUACGGAAGGUCCAAGCGUUAAUCGGAAUUACUGGGCGUAAAGCGCGCGUAGGUGGUUUAUUAAGUUGGGUGUGAAAGCCCCGGGCUCAACCUGGGAACUGCAUCCAAAACUGAUUCACUAGAGUACGAAAGAGGAAAGUAGAAUUCACAGUGUAGCGGUGGAAUGCGUAGAUAUUGUGAAGAAUACCGAUGGCGAAGGCAGCUUUCUGGUUCUGUACUGACACUGAGGUGCGAAAGCGUGGGUAGCGAACAGGAUUAGAUACCCUGGUAGUCCACGCCGUAAACGAUGACAACUAGCUGUUGGGAAGCUAUGCUUUUCAGUGGCGCAGCUAACGUCUUAAGUUGUCCGCCUGGGGAGUACGGCCGCAAGGCUA